CACACACAUUCCCAGCCAUCGUGAACAUCACAGUUGGACUAAAUGAUCUCAGAGCUCUUUUCCAACCUUAAUGAUUCUCUCUGACUGUGACUUCUCACUCCCACCCUCAGCUCGGUGGGAUGCAGAAAUGCAGCAUUCCUUUCUCCAGAUCCCCGCAGCAGCUCAGCCUGGUAGGCACGAACUAAGAGCGCCCCAGACGCGGUGGCUGUGCCCACAGAGAUUAGGCUGCUUCCCAGCUCCCACCGGGACUUCAUAGGCACUUGCCUCCAUGCAUGGUUUGCUGGAACUUAAGCCUGGUGCCUGGCAUCUCACCCUCAGCACUUGGGAUCAAAGUCCUGGCACAUCCCAGGCUUUCAUGUGGAUGUGAAAAAUAGCCCGGACUCGAAUCACGAGAAUCAUUUCCUGAAGCCAAAUAUAUUUCAACAAACCAUCCCACCAAGCCCUGACAUAUCUUGUGCAAUCUUUUAGAUGACCCAAAUUGCCAACUUUAUUUCCAGAAAUCUUCUGCAUUUUCUCCAAUAGGAGAAGAAGACAUGACCAUCACAGCAGCAAGGCAAGGCAGGGAUGUGCGCCUGGAUGUGCAUCAGGCAGACACCUUCAUGGACGCAGGGAUUUACAGCGGCUGUAAGCGAUGUACCAAGGUUCACAAACUCAUCGGCACUCUCUGUCUGGGAAGAAGAAGGGAGUCAAGAUAUUCUAUAAGAGCAAGUACCACCAACGGUGCACUCAGGGCCAGUUGUGUGGCCGAGGCUGCUGUAUUCUAAGCCUGAGCUCUUGUCACUCACAAGCCUUUGCCCGAUGUAACAGCCAGCCUCAGCUUGCUUUCUGCAGUGUCUCUGGAAGGUCCCAAUCCCAGUAGUAACUGUGGUGCUUUCAAGACAACAUGUCAUCCACUUGUUUUGCCCAUAGCUGCCCAGGGCAUCUGGGUACCUCUAUCCCUCCUGGUGGGCAUCACCUCUGCUCUUCAGCAGCAUAAAGCAAGGGUAAGGUGAGCGUUGCAGCACCACGGGGGCUGUUGCUUCCCAUGGGCACUCAUCAGAAAUGUAAUGGUUCCGGACACCCCUACCCACCGGCCUCUCAACCCAUCUGUCCCCCAUAGUUUGCUGGCGGGUCACUCUUCAUCACCCUGUCUGGGAAAGGCUGGUUGGAGGUGGGAUGCAUCAUGCUUCAGAUCAUAAUUGAUCUUCAAAGAGCACAUUUAAUGCUGCUA
RNAcentral lists this long non-coding RNA (1210 nucleotides) under Numida meleagris (helmeted guineafowl). RNAcentral describes it as "lncRNA (ENSNMEG00000022976.1)". The record is from RNAcentral. Lineage: Eukaryota; Metazoa; Chordata; Aves; Galliformes; Numididae.